GCGGGUGUAGCUCAAUGGUAGAGCCCCAGCCUUCCAAGCUGAUUACGCGGGUUCGAUUCCCGUCACCCGCUCCA
This 74-nucleotide transfer RNA is filed under the name Blastococcus sp. TF02-09. RNAcentral describes it as "Blastococcus sp. TF02-9 tRNA-Gly". It matches the Rfam family "tRNA". Rfam says of the family: Transfer RNA (tRNA) molecules are approximately 80 nucleotides in length. Their secondary structure includes four short double-helical elements and three loops (D, anti-codon, and T loops). Lineage: Bacteria; Bacillati; Actinomycetota; Actinomycetes; Geodermatophilales; Geodermatophilaceae. The record is from RNAcentral.